Molecule: ribosomal RNA, 476 nt
Filed under: uncultured bacterium
Lineage: Bacteria
Description: bacterial SSU rRNA
Rfam family: Bacterial small subunit ribosomal RNA
Source: RNAcentral
AGUACUCCUACGGGGAGGCAGCAGUGGGGGGAAUAUUGCACAAUGGGCGCAAGCCUGAUGCAGCCAUGCCGCGUGUGUGAAGAAGGCCUUCGGGUUGUAAAGCACUUUCAGUCGUGAGGAAGGUAGUGUAGUUAAUAGCUGCAGUAUUUGACGUUAGCGACAGAAGAAGCACCGGCUAACUCCGUGCCAGCAGCCGCGGUAAUACGGAGGGUGCGAGCGUUAAUCGGAAUUACUGGGCGUAAAGCGCAUGCAGGUGGUUUGUUUAAGUCAGAUGUGAAAGCCCGGGGCUCAACCUCGGAAUAGCAUUUGAAACUAGGCAGACUAGAGUACUGUAGAGGGGGGUAGGAAUUUCAGGUGUAGCGGUGAAAUGCGUAGAGAUCUGAAGGAAUACCGGUGGCGAAGGCGGCCCCCUGGACAGAUACUGACACUCAGAUGCGAAAGCGUGGGGAGCAAACAGGAUUAGAUACCCCUGGUAG